CUGGGCCGUAACUGACGCUGAGGAGCGAAAGGGUGGGGAGCAAACAGGCUUAGAUACCCUGGUAGUCCACCCCGUAAACGUUGGGAACUAGUUGUGGGGGCCUUUCCACGGGCUCCGUGCCGCAGCUAACGCAUUAAGUUCCCCGCCUGGGGAGUACGGCCGCAAGGCUAAAACGCAAAGGAAUUGACGGGGACCCGCACAAGCGGCGGAGCAUGCGGAUUAAUUCGAUGCAACGCGAAGAACCUUACCAAGGCUUGACAUAUACGAGAACGGGCUAGAAAUAGUCAACUCUUUGGACACUCGUAUACAGGUGGUGCAUGGUUGUCGUCAGCUCGUGUCGUGAGAUGUUGGGUUAAGUCCCGCAACGAGCGCAACCCUCGUUCUCUGUUGCCAGCACGUAAUGGUGGGAACUCAGGGGAUACUGCCGGGGUCAACUCGGAGGAAGGUGGGGAUGACGUCAAAUCAUCAUGCCCCUUAUGUCUUGGGCUUCACGCAUGCUACAAUGGCCGGUACAAAGGGCUGCAAUACCGUGAGGUGGAGCGAAUCCCAAAAAGCCGGUCCCAGUUCGGAUUGAGGUCUGCAACUCGACCUCAUGAAGUCGGAGUCGCUAGUAAUCGCAGAUCAGCAACGCUGCGGUGAAUACGUUCCCGGGUCUUGUACACACCGCCCGUCAAGUCAUGAAAGUCGGUAACACCUGAAGCCGGUGGCCUAACCCUUGUGGAGGGAGCCGUCGAAGGUGGGAUCGGUAAUUAGGACUAAGUCGUAACAAGGUAGCCGUACCGGAAGGUGCGGCUG
RNAcentral lists this ribosomal RNA (795 nucleotides) under Microbacterium sediminis. RNAcentral's name for it is "bacterial SSU rRNA". It matches the Rfam family "Bacterial small subunit ribosomal RNA", at positions 729 to 1520 of the family's 1533-position model. Lineage: Bacteria; Bacillati; Actinomycetota; Actinomycetes; Micrococcales; Microbacteriaceae. The record is from RNAcentral.